CUGAAGGCAUCAAGACCUUAAAUCCAGAGCCGCUGAGUUGCACAACAGCAGGGGGCACCAUUCUCCUGGGAUACCAGGGAAGUCAUUUAACACAAUGUAUGAUGUCUAUUGGAGCUGUGGGGAUGUGGCCCUUUUUGGAAUUUCUGAGAUCACAGUUUGCAUGCCGCUCUUCCUGUUCUUAGUCCUACUUCUGGAUGGAUGAGAGUUCAGAAAAGCUUUCCGGCCCUAGAUCUCAUCCAUCAUCAUCUCUUCCUUGCACAGAUUCAGAAGACUCCAAGUCAUGCACGAUCAGCUCCUAUUUCUUCAGUCACCUGGGGCCUGGUUUUCUCUUUUUCAAACACAUUAAGUCCUGUCCCUCUUCAGGACUUUUAUUCUUGCUGCAUCCUUUACCUGGAAUGCCUUUAAAGGUGAGCAUGGUCAGUUUUCAUGGUCUUUGAUAACUUUGAUUACUUUAUUGGUUCCCAAAUACAACAGUCUCAGUAAAUCAGGAUGACGUUGGCUGGAGCAAUUUACAAUACAUGUGCAUUCACUAUUCCUGAGGACAAGAAAAAAGGUCCAUACCAGGAGAAAUAUUUCUACUGUGACUUCGGGAAUUUCUUCAAAGUCUUCUACCUGAAGAUGUCAUUUGUGUGACCCAAGGACAUUAGACUAAAGCAUCCGGAAUGUACAGCACAGAACAAGCAAAAGAAACUCCACUACAACUCAACUGUACUCAGAUAAUGAAGAAUACAACCUUUUUCCUCAAACAGAAUAAAACAAUGGAGCACAUAGUCUAGAAAGCGAAAGAAAAUCAGAUACGUUAUUUGUAUUAGUUUCAAAACUUCAGUAUCCUAACAGACCUGGCAUGUUUACAAUUACUUGUUGUAGGAAAAUAAGGUUUAAACACAAUUUGCAGUACAUAUUGUAUAAAAUGAGAUAUACUGGUUUCCACUAUAUAAAAAAGCCAGAGAAUCUCAAUUUAUGGAAAUAAAUUAGAUAAAUAAUUUUAAACAUUUUGUGACUCUGAGAAGAUAAAUUAAUAUUCACUAGAAUGCUGGAUUAACCAUGCCAACAGCAAUUCAUGUAACAAAAGUUCCAGUAAAGCCUCAGUAAAUAAUCAAUUAGAAUCAUUUAAAAUAAACAAAAGAUUGAGUAAAAAUACUCCUGGCAGUAGCACUAGUUUUAUUUUUAAAAGAUCAUUCUUACUACAGCUAUAGCUGAAGGUAUAAAACAUUUGCCAGAAUAAUGGUCUAAAGGAUACAUGGUUUUUAGUAUUUUUGAUUUCAUGAUUACUUUGAACGUUAUUGUUCAGAAAAAUCCUGAUUUUCCUUUAGAGGUAAUUUUACUAAGUUGGCUGCAAGACUUCUCAAAGUGAUUUUACAAUAUCCCAAGUUCUUAGAUUUUAUUUUUCCUGUGGGUACUUUUCUUUCCUGUGAUGAUCAGCUAGAAAAUAAGAUUAACUAGUAUUUAUUUUACUCUUAAAUUUCUAGGUGUACACUUACCUUAUGAAUUGCUAUGUAAUUUCUGCUUAAGUUAAUGACCUUCUCUGGGACCCCACAGUGUCACCGGUAGAGGUGAUCUGUAACAGGGAUUCUAACCUCCUCUCCGUCCCUGCAGACAGGACGGUCCCGGUAAGUCACCAUCGGCCCCGCUGCCUCCCCCAGCUGCUCAGUGAUGCGGCCUGUUGUCUGCUUUCUCCUUCUUCAGGGAAAUCAUUGAUCUAAGAUGACUUUUAAUCCUAAAAAGUCUGUGAGUCUGUACUUAUCAAGAGAUCAAAAAUAACCAUCUGAAAUCAUGCAACCUUAAGAUGGAUGUUUUUCUCUCCUUUCAUGUAGCCUCUAUUAAGCACUGUGCAGAGCUCUGAUACAACCGACAGGGUUCCUGAAUUAAAUCAUCUUUUUGUGAGAUUCUUCAUUAAAAACCAAACAAAAACAUACAAUUUAAAGAAAGGGUAAAGUCUAUGCUACCAUGGCUUUCAGGUACAUUCUCUGCCUACCACUCAUCCCUGUCCAUUUGAUGAAAUUAGUAAGAAAUCUGUACAACAAAUUAAGAGUAGCAUCUGACAGGCAUUGCACAACGCUUUAGUCCCAAGCUUUCAAAGAAGGUAAGAGGUCAAAGCUUAAGUUUACACAUGGUUUGGCUACUCCAAGAUUCUAGGCUAUAGCUAGGUUUACUGGUUACCUGCAAAAACAUGUUAAGGUGAGAUAGCUCACUAAGAUACAGAGGUAUCUGUAAGGACAGAAUGUGCUGGCAUCUCUUUUAUCACUCUAGGGACCUACCUAUGACAUUAUUUGUAUAGGUUGAGCAAUUUAUAUCUACAGUAUCAGCUAUUUAAUUUUGGACAAGUUUUUAAGUGUCAUUGGCAAAAUCAGACCAGAAUUUCAAUUUUGAAUAUAUAGUGUAAAUCUCUUUUCCCUAAACUAUAAACCCUUUCCCCUGCUUUUCAGAAACAUAAUUGCAUAAUUCAAACUCCUUCAAUACAGUGACCUAGUUCCCCCUCUUGAUGUUAUAAACAGCUCAUGUAACUAUGGUAACCAUCCAGGGAAAAUUGAAUGUUUUUCUGGUCAGCAAUAUGCAAAGUAUACCAUAUGUGCUAUUUUUUUCUCUCUGGGAUAACCAAAGUGAGUCAUACAUGUUUACUGUUCUCCUCAGUUAGGGGAAUAUUUUAUGAUAACUGAAUUUUCUCUUGACUACAGUCCCAGUCAUUUAUAGUCCUUUUAUUAAAAUGUUUUACAAUCGUCUCUUGCUGUUAGUAGUCAUUCUAAAUCCUGAACAGUAUCAUAACCUUUAGUAGGAUUGAUUGAAUAACCAGCUUAAAAUCUGGCAAUCUACUGUGUAAAUGAAAUGUACAGGCUGACAUUGCUCAGAUUUCUAAUAUUCCAUCUUGACAAUCUGGUAUUUUCUUUGUCAUUCAGUCCUUGCCAAAGCAUCUCCUUAAGGCAAAAAACUAAAAUGAAUUACAUCUUGGGGGUAUACUAGACACUGAGAAGA
This is a non-coding RNA of Manis javanica (Malayan pangolin), 2970 nucleotides long. The record is from RefSeq and is a predicted model, not a curated record. Lineage: Eukaryota; Metazoa; Chordata; Mammalia; Pholidota; Manidae.